GGGAGAUUUGGUUUACAUAUGAUUCUUAGUGAAGGUUCCUUGCCACAGUGACAGGUUUCUUCUGAAUAUCAGGUGCCGGGGUCAGGCAGGGGAAGGCCAUUGCUUCCAUGUUCUCCUCCCAGAAGCUAUUCCCAGCAGUUGUGCUGAAUGAGAUGGACUUUUGGAAUGAUGCAGCAAGGCAAUUCUGGAGUUCCUUUCCCCUCCUGAACUUCUUGCAUAGGCAUGACCACUUCCACCUUACCUGGUUUCUGCCCUCUCUCCCUUCCCUCAGGCUCCAGGACCUUUACUAGCCCCUGUGCAGUCUCCUCUGGGGAAUCUUGCUCCAUUGCGUGGGUUUGUAGGUGCUCCAGCGAGUGCCCUCUGUGAUGUGCUUCCUGAUGGAAGAAGCCCAGUGGAACCGAGAGAACUGGCCCAAACAGUUGCAGUGCCUGACAGUUGCAAGAAGAGCCCGUUUGAAUCCAUGGAUGGUGCUAAAGAAGCAGUCGCGACAGCGGUGGUGGCAGCAUCUUCCUUGAGCCACUUGAUCCUUGAUGGAACAGAAAAGGAAGACGGGAGCAACGAGGUGAGUCUUGUCUUGGAGAAUAUUCUGGAUGCGGAAGAGUUAUCUCCAGUCCUGGGCAGCCCAAAGUUUGGGUUGAGCAGGGCCACUGUUGAAAGCGCUUGGAAGCAGAAGGACAACAGCUCCUCAGCCCAAGAGAAGGAUGUGAGUAAAGGUGACUUAAAAGAGGAGCAAAGCCAGGGAUCAGCAGAGGCGACCGAAAGGGACAUUUGGGCACCGGGAAGGGAGAGGAGCAAAAGUUGUCCCAGUGAAGCUGAAGCAGAGGCAGCUGGAACAGAUGCUGAUAUCUUACAGGCAGAGAGAGCUGCACCACAUCCAGUGAACUUUGAUCUGCCAGACCGGUCAUGCCCAGAGAAUUCUAAGGCUGAAGAUAAGCAAAUGGAGCCAUGGAAGAUGCAUACUGGCGAUUCCUUGGAGGAAAUGAGCAUACUGGAGCAGACUAACCUGAAGCAGACAAAGAUACCUUUAGGACAAGAAAAAAUGGUUCAGAUCCAAAGUUUGCAGAAAGAAUUGUGGCAAAAAGAGGAGGAGGAAAAGCAGAGGAUCCAGAUGCUCUGUCAGCAGAAAGAAGAUGCCCUACAGUUACUCAAAACCGAGUUGGACAAGGCCAGGCAAGAAGAGGAGCUGCGCUUAAGAAAGGCGUCAGAAGAGGAACUCUGGAAACUCCAAACCCAAAUCCAUUCUGAAACAGAGGCAGAAAAGGAGCGAAUAAGGCUGUCACAGGAGGCUGCACUGCACAAAUUCAGAGAGGAGCUGGAAUCAUUUCAGCAGACUCAGGAGGGCCAGCUGAAAAAGCAGAAGCUGCUUUUUCUGGAAAAAAUGAAGAAUGAAGCAGAAGCUGUUCAGCAGGCAGAACAGAUGAUCUUGGAGCAGGAGAGCAAGAGAGACCUGAGUGAGCUAAAGGAGAGGCUGUGCCAAAAAAAGGAAGAGGCCAUGCGAGAACUGGAGGUGCAGCACGCAGCAGAGAUGCAGCAACAGCAGUCUGUGGCAGAAGAGGAACACCAAAAGGUCGUCUUGGCCCUCCAGAUACAGAUUGCAGAGGCCCAGAGAAGGAAGGAGGCUGAACUACAAAAGGAGCUGGAGGAUGCAGAGCAAACAGUCCAGCAGAAGAGGCAGCAGAUACUUGAGUAUGAGCAAGAGCUCAGUGACCUCCUGAAGGAAAAGCGACAAGCGGUGGAGAGAGAACACAUGAGGCAGCUGGAGAGGAUGCAGGAAGCACACCAAGCAGCCCUGGCUGGGUUGCAAGCACAGCAGGAGGAGGAGGAGAGAAAGCAGAGAGCUGAGCAGGAGCGCUUGAGGCUGCUCCAUCAGGCGGAGCUUGAGGCCCUGCAGAAACAGCAGCUGGAGCGGCUGAAGGACUUGCACAAGAGCUGCCAGGAGCAGGAGGAAGCCUGGAGGAAAAGAAGGCAGCAGUUCCUGGAGGAAGAGAAGCAGCUGGAGCACGAGAGAAAUGAAGCCGCUGUAGCAGCUCACAUCUGUCUUGAGGUGUCUCAAAAAGAAAAGGAAGAUCUUGCAGCGACCACGCGGCAGCUGCAUGGGGCCCUGGGGGAGCUGCAGGCCCGGAAGACAGAGCUGGAGUCCCAGGUGGAGGGGCUGGAGCUGCAGAGCCAGCGACUGCAGCAGCGGGUCAGUGCCCUGGAAGAGGCCAUCGAGAAGAAGCAACAGCUGCUGAGGGAGCUAGAGGAGGGAAGAGCUGAAGCAUCCUCUGGGGAGAAAGAGGACGUGCUCCGAGUGGAAGACCUGCAGGAGAGCGGGCCAGCUGGCAGAGAAAACAGGCAGCCCUCGUCCAGAGAGAUGGCACCUGAGUCUCCAAAGAGCAAUGAAGAAAGCAGCCUCCUCCUGGAUCAAAUGCGCCACUACAUUUCUGCUGAAGGAGCCUCCCUAAAGACUGCCAAGGAGUUCCUGGUGCGCCAGACACAGUCCAUGAGGAAAAGGCAGAGCGCCCUGAGUACAGCCAAGCAGUGCUGGCGCCACGACCUGCAGAGGACGCAUGGAGCCGCUCAGGACCUCGGUUGCACUCAGAUGCUGGAGGGCGUGCGCCAGAACCUGGAAGAGGAGGGGAGGCAGCUGGAUGAGAUGAGGUCUGCCAUGCGGAGGGGCCAAGCACUGCUGAAGAAGAAAGAGGAGAAACUGAGCCAGCUGGAGUCCUCACUCCUCGAGGAGAUCUCCGAUGAAGAUACUCUUAAGGGAGUGGCAUGCAAGAAGGUGGUGACCUUUGACCUCAGUGACUCGGAGGAUGCCAGCAGUAUGAUGAGCACUGACGGCUUUCCCUGCAAAAUGGACUUGAAGCCGGAUCUCCAGUUCCCCCCCUUGGACAAAAUCCAUUACUUGACCGACUCACUCCGCCGCAUCACCAGAGACCUGAACAGUGUCCUUGGCCUCCUGAGCAACUUCAGCAACCAGCAGCCUCUCUUCUUCACGUCCAGCCAGAGCCCGGUGUCCUCAGGGCCCAGGGAUGGCAUUCCUCUUGCUGCUUACACCUCUCUGGCGCGUGUUCAUUCCGCCACUCCGCUUCUGCCUCCUGCUGGGCCUCAGUGGGCCUGGGGAACUGGCUCAGGACAGAGCGCUGCUGCCGUGGCUCACCACUCCGUGGACUGCUUGCUGACGGAGAAGUGGCACAAGUACUUUCCCGGUAAGUUCUCAUUGCUCUGUAGAAGCCCUGGACCUCUGGAUAGCAAGCUGGGCCAUGUGACAUCUGGGGAACAAGUCCAUCGGUUCCAGCAGCCACAUUUACAGGGACCUGAGGCUGAAGGGCCAAACAUCCAGGGCAUGAUUGAAGCCAACAAGAAGUGGCUGGAGAGUGUCAGGCAGGAUUCCAAACUGUAUCCUUUUGCUCAGGCAUUGCUGUUGUGGGAACAGAAUCCUGGAAGAGAUAGCCGUUUGGUCGAUAGACCCAAUUCAGCAUGGUUCUUCUUAGGACUAGAAGCCACGUUCUUUUGCUUUCCUUCACCUAAACUGCUAGUCCUCUCUUGCCAAGUGUGCCACAGUCCUCAGCCAGUGGCACUGGUUUGGUGCAGCUUGGACUGGAUGAGAACAACCAAAUCAAGGUCUACCACUUCUAGGCACGUGGGUGAAGCCUGGUUGGAAAGCUGAUCAUCAGGCUGAAAUUCCCAGCAGCAAAGCCUUGAUGUUCUCUCGGAUGACAAUAUACCGCAUUAACCCUGUACCUGGCAGCUUCUGUGCAUGCUUUCUUGGGCUUUGUCAAGGCCACAAAGCCCGGCUCUUGGAGAUAUUUUCAAGAAAUUCAUAACUAGUUGCUUUCUUGUUAGCUUUCUGUUAUUCUGGAAAAUGCCCAGCAGGCGAAAUCGCUUCUUGAGGGAAGGAGGUGAGUUCUGAAAGGAGGACAGGGGCUGCCCAGCUGCCUUUCCAUGCAGGUGCACCUGGGAGCACAGAAAGCCACAUGCUGCACGAAGCAAGCACUUGGAAGCCUCCGCACCUUGGCCAGUGCCAUUGCCUCCCCCUCCUCCAUGCUGAGUGUGGCAUGCUUCUUCCAUGCAUUCCGCAAGGCUUUACCUGAGGGAAGAGCUGCUUUCCAAAGCGCCCCCCCCCACACGCACGCUCGGCUCCCCCCAGUCUCUCAGUUGGGUCUGCUGCCGGCUGGGCGAUUGCUGGGCCAUACUGGCUUUGCCCAGCAGCUGUUAAAUGGUGCCAGGCUGGCUGUGAACGGGUGAAGGAAGGGCCGCAAAAGACUGUCCGGCUCAAAACCUCUGCAUCGUCCCGUUUUACCGGAUCCGCCAGACUUUAAGAUCUUGGCAGUUCCUCUCGGGGCUUGGGGACUGUCACCCCAUUUGGGCAGCAGCUGAGAGCACUCGGGUUGCCUGCAGGGGGGCUGCCACAUGUGGCUUCCCAUGCAUUGUUGCUCAAGGCCGGCACAUUGCUUGCCAAAACUGCCUCUGGGAUAUUUCGGGGUUUUUUUCCUCAUCGUCCUUGUAGGCAAUGUGGGGCCCUUCCUUGGAGAGUCCCCCUUCUGGCAGCCCCUCUCGGCUCUCUUCCCUCUGGUGCUGACACCCCACCAUUCAGGUGGGCCUCUGCAGGAGCUGCCUGGACAGGAGAAAGGACUUGCUUUGGCCUGUGUCAGGGGCUGUGUUGUGGCAAGUGAACUGGUACAGGGCUCAGCUGUUGGCUAUAUUUUGUAUACCAAUUAAAUUUUACUUUUCUAUACAUCUCUGGUGCUUUUUGUCCCUCCUCCGCUCCUGCAGCCACAGUGUGUGCCCUUCUGAGAGUCGCAUGUGCUCGCGUUUCCGUGCUGGCCACUCUACUUGGGCUCCUCCCACUUUCCCUGUUGCCAGAUUGCUGUUUGAAAUCAAGAGCGAGGCUGGGUGGGGUGAGGGAGUUCUCUUACCCCUUGCCCUGCUGACAUGUAUCUGCCAGACUGAAUGAGAUGGCCUCCAGAUGCCAAGCAACAAGUGCUUUGGCUGGCUGUGGAAUUCGGGCUUUUGACAUGUAGCACAUGGGAUGCUUUGUGCCGUGGAGCUGCCGACGGCCCCUUGCUCAGACUGCAAUCCCCGGGAGAGCAAGUGAAGCCAGCAUGCCUCCCUCUGUGCUGCUCGCCCCGAGCUGCGCACCUCCUCCCGCCCAGUGCGCUGCGUGGGGAUGACAGCGCAUGCUCGCACAAGUCCCAGGGGAUCGGGGGGGGGGGGAGGCAGCUGUCUCCGGGCCCAGUGGUGACGAUUAGCCGCUCCCAAGGACGGCACAGCCGGCUUUGCAGGCAGGGCAGGCCGUCUGCUUAAGCUUAUUAGGGGUGCCUGCUGCCAGUUCACCUUGUUGCAGCCAAGAUAAGCUCAUCGCAGAGACCUGGGGAACACUGGCCUCUGGCGUGGCUUCUCGACUUUUCUGCCAUGCUGGCCACACUGAUGACUGGGCUCUACUUCCUCGUGAAAGCCUUGGGGCAGCUUGGCAACAGCCUGGUCCAGGAGGAGCCGCUGCCCUAUCUCAUCCACCAGCCCCUGCCGUGGCAGGUCCAGUACGUGACGCAGAGCCGCCGCGCCAGCCGAGACAGCGGGAAGGGGGUGAGUUCUCGGCACAACAGCAUCUAUGGGAUCGCUGGACGGAGAGGUGACUGCAGUUCAGUGCCCAGCAGCGCAAGAGAAGAUCUGCAUGAUCCAACUGAGAGAGCUCCUUUAACUAUCCAGGCUCACUGCUGCAGUAAAUACCAGCAACACGAGCAUGACAAUUAGAGUGCACUUCCAAAUCCUGCCUACUUUGAAAUCAAGGGGAACCUGCUUUCAGGUGACCAGCGGGGGUGACAUCGGUAUGACUUCUGGGGCACCCCUCACCUCAGACGUGGCACACCCAGUUCACCUGUCUUUAGAGGCAGCUUUCCUGUGUAGGCUGAAUGUUCCCAACAUGGUUUCAAAAAUUUUUGAGUUUUCGGAAUUGGCCACGGGGGUCCUAACCUCUUGCUGAGUUCUGUGGAAGGAGGUUGCUGCGCUGAAUAGGGGAGACUUUUGUGUUCAGCAUGGGGACCCCUUUCUAGAAGGGGUUAGGUUUUAAUACAAAUUGGGCUUCCAACCAAGAGCCAUGUUAAUGGCACCAGGGAAAAGAUACCCAGUACAGUAAUAGCAGGAAAGGCUAGAUGCUUCGUUUACUUGAACACAACCGUUUUCAGAAGGAAAGCAAAGCACCUGGGGCAACAGACCAGCCUGCAUUUAGCAACCAGCAACUCCGCUGUUGUGAAGUUGGCUUAGAAAAGCGGCCCUGCUCAUUUGUGGCGCGUGCUUUCUGCACUGCCCUCAUCCCGGGUGCAGCCAUCGCCGGGAGCAUCACGUCAUACACCGCAGAAGUGCCGCAAGCGGGUAGCCUAAUCCUUGGGCAUGCAGUGUGGAAGUUCCCACUGUUCUUUAAGAAGAAAAAAGUGGCAGCCACAGCUUCCCCACUCCAGUCUUCACGGCACCAUUUGAGUCUCCUCACCUCACUUGGGAAGGAGACUAUCACUUCAGCAUAAGUAAUUUAAAAUUCAUUGGUGCUUAAGAGCUUUAGGUACUAAAGCCUGCGCAGCUUCUCUCUGACAUGUCUUGGGUAGAUAGGCUGACGAUUUUUUUUUCUAGAUUGGAGUGCACCCAUCCAGGACGUGGCUCUGGGAGAGCAGGCACUGAUCGACUUGGCAGAAAGCUGAGGCUGAGCACCGGUAUUGCUGCCACAGUGUGCUUCCGACAUGUCCCUUCUUUUCUACACUUACCGUCUGCCGUGCUAAGCAAUGAGCAGUUAUUUCCCAGGGUGGGGAAAUGGUGAUGUCAUCAUUCCCUCCCUGACAGAUCUUUCUCCACAUUGCAUUGAUUGGUGAGGGAGUGGUACCUGUCUGCAGGACAUGGCCUGCUGCAGGAUGGCCCCGGUCAUGCUCUUACAGGUCUGGCUCACCUGAAACAAAGGCCUCUGAUAUUAUAGAAACAUAACUUUUAUUGCACACUGCGCUGGCUUUUUGUUUUUAUAGAAAAAGGUAUUAACACAGAGGCAGAUGCAACUCGAAGCAAGUCCCAUGGUUUUCCAAACAGUAAAACAACAUGCAAUGUCUCAAAAGAGUCUCUGCAAAACCUACAGGGGUUGCUCAAUCAGGGACAGAGGAUGGGGAGGGCAUGCGCACCCUCAGCUGUGGCGCCCUCUUCCAAGACAUCGUGGGACAAAGAGCAACACCUUCAGUAAAAGAUUCCUAAAUGC
Molecule: RNA transcript, 7213 nt
Organism: Varanus komodoensis (Komodo dragon)
Lineage: Eukaryota; Metazoa; Chordata; Lepidosauria; Squamata; Varanidae
Gene: CEP164
Gene name: centrosomal protein 164
Exons: 25
Source: RefSeq, a predicted model, not a curated record